ACAAACUUGGUCAUUUAGAGGAAGUAAAAGUCGUAACAAGGUUUCCGUAGGUGAACCUGCGGAAGGAUCAUUAUUGAAUAUCUUGCCUUGAUAGGUUGUAGCUGGCCUCUUGAGGCAUGUGCACACCUGUCUUGACUUUAUUCAUCCACCUGUGCAUCUAUUGUAGUUCUUUGCUCUUGGUAGGUCAAGGAAAGCAGCCAUCUGCUCAGUUGAGAUAUACUGGUUUUGAAGAUUGCCGUAUUGAGCUAUCUUCUCCUGUGGCAUUGUAGAACCAUGCCUACCAUUGAUCCAAGGGACUAUGUUUCUUAUCAUAAACUAUGUAGUAUAUUGUCAGAAUGUCAUUGAAUGGGCUUUUUAUGCCUAUAAUAACUUAUACAACUUUCAGCAACGGAUCUCUUGGCUCUCGCAUCGAUGAAGAACGCAGC
This 425-nucleotide unclassified non-coding RNA is filed under the name uncultured fungus. RNAcentral's name for it is "partial contains small subunit ribosomal RNA, internal transcribed spacer 1, and 5.8S ribosomal RNA". The stretch from base 1 to 73 matches the Rfam family "Eukaryotic small subunit ribosomal RNA", at positions 1759 to 1831 of the family's 1831-position model. The record is from RNAcentral. Lineage: Eukaryota; Fungi.